UAGUGAUGAAUUAACAUAAUUUGGGCGC
RNAcentral lists this small RNA (28 nucleotides) under Bombyx mori (domestic silkworm). Its description in RNAcentral is "ovarian small RNA-6477". The record is from RNAcentral. Lineage: Eukaryota; Metazoa; Arthropoda; Insecta; Lepidoptera; Bombycidae.